GAUUUUCUAGGUGUUGUAGGACGGAUUCCUCCAUGGAUAUUUCCUCGUCACUCGAUCUAUUGUCUCCUUUAUCAUGCUCCAAUUUUACGGCAGCCUCUGCGUGUGGUGCCUUCAAAUUUUAGUUCAACCCUCAAUAAUCAUGCAAAGUUCGCCCCUGCUUGAAUGCAGGUGAAAUAUUCCCAAAAUUUCCUUCCACCAAAAAGCAUGAGAAGUAACCUGGAUUGUUCCCUGCAUCUGCCUCAAUGCAAAUUUAAAACUCCAAGUGAGCCAAAAAUCUUUUCA
RNAcentral lists this unclassified non-coding RNA (282 nucleotides) under Hevea brasiliensis (rubber tree). Lineage: Eukaryota; Viridiplantae; Streptophyta; Magnoliopsida; Malpighiales; Euphorbiaceae. The record is from RNAcentral.